RNAcentral lists this unclassified non-coding RNA (379 nucleotides) under uncultured bacterium. RNAcentral describes it as "contains 16S-23S intergenic spacer region". The record is from RNAcentral.
UCCGGUUUGUCACCGGCAGUCUUGCCAGAGUGCCCAACUGAAUGUUGGCAACUGGCCAUGAGGGUUGCGCUCGUUGCGGGACUUAACCCAACAUCUCACGACACGAGCUGACGACAGCCAUGCACCACCUGUCUUAGAGUUCCCUCGCGGGCACCCCUCUGUUUCCAAAAGGUUCUCUAGAUGUCAAGCCCUGGUAAGGUUCUUCGCGUUGCGUCGAAUUAAACCACAUCCUCCACCGCUUGUGCGGGCCCCCGUCAAUUCCUUUGAGUUUCAGCCUUGCGGCCGUACUCCCCAGGCGGGAUACUUAACGCGUUAGCUACGGCACUGGAGGGGUCGAUACCCCCAGCACCUAGUAUCCAUCGUUUACAGCGUGGACUAC